GACGAACGCUGGCGGCGUGCUUAACACAUGCAAGUCGAACGAAGAGCGAUGGAAGCUUGCUUCUAUCAAUCUUAGUGGCGAACGGGUGAGUAACGCGUAAUCAACCUGCCCUUCAGAGGGGGACAACAGUUGGAAACGACUGCUAAUACCGCAUACGAUCUAAUCUCGGCAUCGAGGAUAGAUGAAAGGUGGCCUCUACAUGUAAGCUAUCACUGAAGGAGGGGAUUGCGUCUGAUUAGCUAGUUGGAGGGGUAACGGCACACCAAGGCGAUGAUCAGUAGCCGGUCUGAGAGGAUGAACGGCCACAUUGGGACUGAGACACGGCCCAGACUCCUACGGGAGGCAGCAGUGGGGAAUCUUCCGCAAUGGACGAAAGUCUGACGGAGCAACGCCGCGUGAGUGAUGACGGCCUUCGGGUUGUAAAGCUCUGUUAAUCGGGACGAAAGGCCUUCUUGCGAAUAGUGAGAAGGAUUGACGGUACCGGAAUAGAAAGCCACGGCUAACUACGUG
This 510-nucleotide ribosomal RNA is filed under the name uncultured bacterium. RNAcentral describes it as "partial 16S ribosomal RNA". It matches the Rfam family "Bacterial small subunit ribosomal RNA", at positions 28 to 507 of the family's 1533-position model. The record is from RNAcentral.